Molecule: non-coding RNA, 386 nt
Organism: Onychostruthus taczanowskii (white-rumped snowfinch)
Lineage: Eukaryota; Metazoa; Chordata; Aves; Passeriformes; Passeridae
Source: the annotation of a RefSeq genome assembly
GGCUCCGGGCGGCCGUGACCCUGCUGGAGUCCGGGGGGGACCUCCAGCCCCCCGGGGGGUCCCUGCGCCUCCUCUGCCGAGGGUCCGGGUUCAGUUUUGGGAGCUAUGCCAUGCAAUGGAUCCGCCAGAGACCCGGGCAGGGGCUGGAGUGGAUUGCAGGGAUCACCAACAAUGGUGGUUGGACCGGCUCCGCGCCAUCGCUCAAGGCACAACCAUCUACGCGCCGUCGGUGCGGGGCCGGGUGACGAUCUCCAGGGACAACAGGCAGAGCUCGGUGACGCUGACCAUGAACAGCCUCACGGACGACGAUUCCGGAUCCUAUUUCUGCGCCAAAGCUUCUUGCUUCAGUUAUGUUCCUGCUCCUGGUUAUGUUGAUGAUGCCCGUG